This 277-nucleotide ribosomal RNA is filed under the name uncultured bacterium. RNAcentral's name for it is "partial 16S ribosomal RNA". It matches the Rfam family "Bacterial small subunit ribosomal RNA", at positions 216 to 507 of the family's 1533-position model. The record is from RNAcentral.
CGGUGUAGGAUGAGCUCGCGGCCUAUCAGCUUGUUGGUGGGUAAUGGCCUACCAAGGCGGCGACGGGUAGCCGGCCUGAGAGGGUGGACGGCCACAUUGGGACUGAGAUACGGCCCAGACUCCUACGGAGGCAGCAGUGGGGAAUAUUGCACAAUGGGCGCAAGCCUGAUGCAGCGACGCCGCGUGGGGAUGACGGCCUUCGGGUUGUAAACUCCUUUCGCUAGGGACGAAGCUUUUUGUGACGGUACCUAGAUAAGAAGCACCGGCUAACUACGUG